Long non-coding RNA from Papaver somniferum (opium poppy), 3781 nucleotides. RefSeq lists it as uncharacterized. The record is from RefSeq and is a predicted model, not a curated record. The transcript has 7 exons. NCBI's taxonomy places the organism in Eukaryota, Viridiplantae, Streptophyta, Magnoliopsida, Ranunculales, Papaveraceae.
ACCAGGGAAGAAAGUGAUUUUGCUGCUGCUAUCGAUAGUGGAUGAUCAACAGAGCCGAAAGAAGAGAUUUUACACAAAUUAUACAGGAACAAUUCAAUUUCCUCUACAUGAAAAAAAACCUAUAGUUUGAAUUUUGAUUUGUUGUUUUUGAGAAAAAUCAAAAUAGUAAUUCAGGUGCAAUUCAAUUUCCCCUACAGGAUGAAAAAUAUCCGUAUUUUGAAUUUUUGUUUUCGAGAAAAACCCAAAAUUUACUAUCUGGGUUUGUAAGUCUUCUGGCUUUGUUUGUUGCAGGGCUGCUGAGAUUGGUUAUAGGAAACAGCGAAAACACUUGCAAAGCCAAUUGCUGGCGUUUGGAAGAAUCAGAAACACUAAAUCUAAAAGUUCAGGAUGGUCUCAAGUGAUGAUGGAUUGAUCUUCUCACAUUUCGCUAAGUUGUUGCUGUAACUGUAAGUUUGAUAGGUUUUUGGUGAAGUAUUGCAAUGAGAACAAACCAAGUUUGCUGCCAUCAAUGUGGGGAUGAAUCAAUGAGAUUAAUGGUUGUGUUUGAGAAUUUGUGAAUGUUAAGAAAUGUGGAUUGUGUACGAAUUCGUCUUUUCAAGGAAGAAGAACAAAUAAGGAACAACAAGAGUAUCUACAUUGUCUUCCCAAUCAACAGCUCGAAAUGCAUAUAACCUGUUUGUUUAAACGCCUGAACGACCAGAUUAGCUGCAGCUUUUGGUUUUCACUGAACGAAGCUGUUACUGGAAGUUAACCAUGAAAAUCUCCACGGCGAGAAAGCAAGAUAGAUUUUUCUGAAAUUAUCUUCCCGCAAUCAAACAAAGGUGCUGGAGUCACGGAUAUUUGUAGGAACUUACAAUGAGAAGACACUUUAUACUUUAUUAGACUACGUUGAGAGCGAGUGAAGCAUGAGUUUAUUGUUGCUGUUGAUUUUACAGUCGGGCAUUCAUGGAUAGCAGUUCGUUGUUCUCAUCUCUGUCCACAAAAAGUUCUCAUCUCCGUCCACAAAAAAUAUCAGCUAUUUUAUCGAUUUGAACUUCAAAUUGCUUUUUUGAUAAUGAGCAGAAGAAAAAGGAAAAAGAUUGUAUCAUUUGUGACAUUAUUCGUGGAGAUUCCAAUGCGUGCUAGUUGUUGAAGCUGCAAGACAAACAGAUAGAGCUGCUCCAGUGGUGUUUGUUGCUGGAAUGUUGAUCACUGCGCUUCGCUACUAAAGUAAGAACGAAUAAGGUAUUAAACUAUUAAUUCAGUAAUAAUUUGCUGUGCAUUAAAAUAUUUAUGCAUUGUACUCUUAUUUUUCUUAAGAGAAUUAAUUCUCACAAUUAAAACAUCACACAACAUACAGUAGAUUCAAUUUCCAACCGUAAGGCAUGAAUAACUCUAAAUUUGCGAGGAUAUAAUUCAAGAAUAUAGCAAGCUUCUUGAUGUGCUACCAUCGAGAUGCUAUUUGGUAGUAAUUGCAAGGAUAUAAUUCAAGAAUUAGGUUUUCAUUCACUAUUUGGUAGUAACGCUACAAGUUUUUGCAAAUUCGGAUAUCAAAAUGUAUAAUAGUGGGAAGAAACGGCAUCUUCAAUGGAAAAGCUUCCUCUAAUGCUUGCAUGCUCUAUUUUUUCUUUUAAUACAAAGCAAUAGUACUCUUUCUUUCUGACUAAGUGAGCGCAUAAUCGUUUUUCAGUUGACUUUUGUUGACAUUAAAUUUGGGUCCAUUAAUAAAUUUUGGUUUUCAUUCAUCUUCAGCUUCUUUGAUGAACCUGUUGUUGAGGAAGAUAUAAUAAUAAAUACUAACUCGCGGGGUAGAUUUUUUUUGCUUGAUUCUGUAUCGCUGAUUUUCCAGUGAGAAUAAAUUCAGUAAAUUGAAAGUCUCUAUGACCAUCAAUUUAUGGAGUCGAGCAUUUAUCAGUUAACAAUUGUUAUGCACAAUAUAUUAACCUGUGGAAGAUCACUCACUCACUAAUUAGGAAAAGAGAUGAUGAACACAACAAUAGUGGUGUUCUACUCCAGUGAGCACAAAAAUUUUGUGGUCCGUCCAGAUUCUUCUCAAGCUUCUUUAUGGGAACAUGCAAUUAAGGUACAAAGCAUGAUCAGUUACCAAUGGUUUGUUGUGGCCCCUAUUUAUCCAUGUUAAUUACUAAACAAAUCUUUAGUGCCUUCUUAGCUAAUGCAUUUUUAUUUAAUUUCGCUCCUACUUUCUUUCUCCUUUUCAAUCUUAGGUCACAAUGAACAAGCCCCAAACAAAAAUCCAGGAAGAUUUUUCAAGAAACUCAACCCAGUUUAAAACUCCAAGUUCUUUCUCACUUAAAUGAUACAGAGUGGCUUUUGUGGGGUAUCAACGCCGGUAGACUUCCACUACCAAUGUGGCUUUUGUGGAUUUAUUCUGAAGCCACUGAAGCUGAUCCUAAGACUUGGCCUCGCAGGUAUAUACAUUAGGAUUUGUAUAUCCUUUUAUAUACAAACCAAAUUAAAUAUUAUCUUGGUGAUAUGUGUUCUGUGGUACCCCCGAAAAUGAGUGCCUGGUGUGCGGUUUUGAACUUAGGUGUUAGACUUGCUUUAAUCCCAAAGACCAGAUUCUAGACAAAUGACAUGCUCCCAAAGGCAAGACACCAGACUGCAACUUCAAACUUCAUUCAGAUUUGUUUUCUCUUCUGUUUCCCCGAUAUUGUUUUACCUGCAACCUUUAUUUAAGUUAGUUAUCACUUGGUUCUAAUGAACAUCUGUAGAGAACAAUAGAUGUUCUCAAGGUGUUUGUAUCAGGAAUUUAGAUCUUACAUACAAGACCAUUAUGUACCUCCCUGGGUUUUGUUUGAGGACAACAAUCUUCUCAAGGGAAGUCUAAAAAGUUAAUGUUAAUGAUACAUAUUGCAAUUAACCGAAUUUGUGGUGUGGUGAUCAUUUUAGGUGUUUGUUAUUCUGUUUUAAUCUCAUGGCUGUAGUAGUGUGAAACUACAGGGUGCAGGUAUGUGUUGUACUCCAUGAGGUUGUGGGUUCAACUCCCAUAGACAGUGACUGAAUCAAUACUACAAUGUUGGUAUCCGGGAACACGCUCUGUGGUGUACACAUUAAAAGAAGUUCGUUACGCCCGGUGCGUAGCACGGGCACAAAAUCUAGUUUCUAAUUUAUUGGGUGACAUUCCAUUAGGAAGUUCCCAAUUGAAGCAAUGCAUUAUUUGUGCAAACAUCAGUUGGACCAAGGUACUGUACGUCUAUGUAGGGUGUAAUGCUACUUAAGUACACUCUAUAUUACAGAAGAGUAUAAUAAUGGAACUUAAUUCAAGUCCACUAGUACCAGCUUUGCGGAACUGACCAAUAACUAAUGUUGCGCUUCUUUCGGAUCCAAAUCCAUGUGAAGGCUCGUGCGAUAACAGGCCUAGCCAGCUAAGUGCAAACUUUCUCUAUAUAGUAUAAUGCAUGGUGGUAUAUGAUAGUGAACUACAUAUUCAUUUCAACAAAAUCACUUCAUUAACAAGAUCAGAUGGAGAUCCGAAAGAAUGUAAUGAGUGUUCUAUUUGUAUCUAUUAUUAUUUUUUCGAUUUUCUUUAACUCUGUUGAUUCAUCAGGAGCAUGUAGACCUGUCCAUGAAUUCUGUGGCACGAUCUACUGCUGUGAUGAUUUAGUGUGCAAUGGUUAUCCACAGAGAUGUGAGCCAUGUAUUAAAGUCGGAGAACCUUGUGGAAUCCUCCACCAUUGUUGUUCUGGGUUAAGGUGUGAUGGUUGGUUUUGGGGAACCUGUCUUAAUGUGUAAGUUGCAUGCUAGGGUGAUGAUUAAGUAUCGUGGUUUUAUUUUAUGUUGA